AAAAAGACAAACCGCGGGUUUGCGUGCCAAUAUUUGACUGUCCGUCUUAUAUGAAUUUUUUUUAUAAUUAGUAUUUUUAUUGUUGUUAGAUGAUAAAAUAUGAUGAAUACUUUAUGCGUGACUUAUCUUUUCAAUUUUUUCAUAAUUUUUUUAAAUAAGACGGACGGUCAAACAUUGGACACGGAAAUCAGGGUUUAUCUUUUU
This is a microRNA precursor of Oryza rufipogon (brownbeard rice), 204 nucleotides long. It matches the Rfam family "MIR812 microRNA precursor family". NCBI's taxonomy places the organism in Eukaryota, Viridiplantae, Streptophyta, Magnoliopsida, Poales, Poaceae. The record is from Rfam.